CCCUGCCAUUUGUACACACCGCCCGUCGCACCUACCGAUUGAACGGUCCGGUGAAAUCUUGGGAUUUGUCGUAUGUGGCUUUAUUGUCUUGUAUGACGAAGAACUUGAGUAAACCUUACCGUUUAGAG
Molecule: ribosomal RNA, 128 nt
Filed under: uncultured eukaryote
Lineage: Eukaryota
Description: partial small subunit ribosomal RNA
Rfam family: Eukaryotic small subunit ribosomal RNA
Source: RNAcentral